AGGCAGCCUCUUUGCUGACGGCCCUAAGGUCUCACGGCAUCGGCGGCGUUAUUUUGCUCGGAUAUUAAAUUAAGCUAUGGCUCUUCGGAUCGGCGGAGAGCUCGCCUCGCUGAUGCUGAUCUAGUAAGCUUUUAGCACAUU
Zingiber officinale is the source of this 141-nucleotide small nucleolar RNA. RefSeq annotates it as small nucleolar RNA snoR77. Lineage: Eukaryota; Viridiplantae; Streptophyta; Magnoliopsida; Zingiberales; Zingiberaceae. The record is from RefSeq and is a predicted model, not a curated record. The transcript has a single exon.